Non-coding RNA from Danio rerio (zebrafish), 161 nucleotides. NCBI's taxonomy places the organism in Eukaryota, Metazoa, Chordata, Actinopteri, Cypriniformes, Danionidae. The record is from Ensembl.
GAAGCAGAGUCGUUCACGAGGCUCUAAAUAUACUGUAUUUUUCACACUGUAAAUUUGGUCAAACAGCAGGAAUUGCUGAAGGAGAAACAACUGACACACUAUAGUAAAGAUGGAGAUUAAGGAGGAACCCUGCGGAAUAAAAGAUGAAGAAACAGAGGAAC